RNAcentral lists this ribosomal RNA (223 nucleotides) under uncultured Streptococcaceae bacterium. Its description in RNAcentral is "partial 16S ribosomal RNA". It matches the Rfam family "Bacterial small subunit ribosomal RNA", at positions 116 to 334 of the family's 1533-position model. The record is from RNAcentral. Lineage: Bacteria; Bacillati; Bacillota; Bacilli; Lactobacillales; Streptococcaceae.
CGUAGGUAACCUGCCUGGUAGCGGGGGAUAACUAUUGGAAACGAUAGCUAAUACCGCAUAAGAGUAGAUGUCGCAUGACAUUUGCUUGAAAGGUGCAAUUGCAUCACUACCAGAUGGACCUGCGUUGUAUUAGCUAGUUGGUGGGGUAACGGCUCACCAAGGCGACGAUACAUAGCCGACCUGAGAGGGUGAUCGGCCACACUGGGACUGAGACACGGCCCAG